CGGAAGUAGCUCAGUUGGUAGAGCGUCUGCCUUCCAAGCAGGCUGUCGCGAGUUCGAGUCUCGUCUUCCG
Molecule: transfer RNA, 70 nt
Filed under: human gut metagenome
Also listed under: 3 other names
Rfam family: tRNA
About the family: Transfer RNA (tRNA) molecules are approximately 80 nucleotides in length. Their secondary structure includes four short double-helical elements and three loops (D, anti-codon, and T loops).
Source: RNAcentral